RNAcentral lists this long non-coding RNA (513 nucleotides) under Nicotiana benthamiana. Its description in RNAcentral is "long non-coding RNA (NBEN_LNC006241)". Lineage: Eukaryota; Viridiplantae; Streptophyta; Magnoliopsida; Solanales; Solanaceae. The record is from RNAcentral.
AUGGUCCCAAUUUUCCUUUUAGUUUUCCACACUCGAGGAUACCUUGGUCGUGGACCUUUAGCUUCGCACACCUGAGGAACAUCAAAAUUAUGACUAAAUCAACUGCAAGAAAAGAGGAAAAUAGAAAAGAGCUGUAUGCAGCUAAAGGAGAAAAAGGAAGACAAGGCAAACAGGUGACUUCAACUGCAAGAAGAGAGGAAAAUAGAAAAGAGCUGCAUGCAGCUAAAGGAGAAAAAGGAAGACAAGGAAAACAAUACUGAAUCACCGAAAUCCAAAUUGAGCAUAUUUCUAUUAGACAUCCAUGUAGGCGACCAACGAUUCCUCCUAAAGGGAAAUUGAAGUUCUUUACAGUCGCCAUAGAGUUCCUCUGAUCUUGCACAAUUUUUUUCUUUUUCUAAUAGUUUCUCUGAACAAUAAAGGUACUAAUCAAAUCAAAAGUAUAACAAAAAUCUUUAAGAAACUACAUGAACAGAUACCCUUUCUCUAAUUACUUUCAAACAAAAUGGUACUAAC